GGCCCCAUAGUUCAAUGGAUAGAAUAUCAGAUUCCGGUUCUGACGAUAUGAGUUCGAGUCUCGUUGGGGUCA
RNAcentral lists this transfer RNA (72 nucleotides) under Mangrovibacterium diazotrophicum. It matches the Rfam family "tRNA". Rfam says of the family: Transfer RNA (tRNA) molecules are approximately 80 nucleotides in length. Their secondary structure includes four short double-helical elements and three loops (D, anti-codon, and T loops). RNAcentral also lists the same sequence under 3 other names. Lineage: Bacteria; Pseudomonadati; Bacteroidota; Bacteroidia; Marinilabiliales; Prolixibacteraceae. The record is from Rfam by way of RNAcentral.